Molecule: RNase P RNA, 297 nt
Filed under: Methanobacteriota archaeon
Lineage: Archaea; Methanobacteriati; Methanobacteriota
Also listed under: 1 other name
Description: Euryarchaeota archaeon RNase P RNA component
Rfam family: Archaeal RNase P
About the family: Ribonuclease P (RNase P) is a ubiquitous endoribonuclease, found in archaea, bacteria and eukarya as well as chloroplasts and mitochondria. Its best characterised activity is the generation of mature 5'-ends of tRNAs by cleaving the 5'-leader elements of precursor-tRNAs.
Source: RNAcentral
GGGAGAAGGAGGACCGCUGACAGAGUUAGACUCUGAGGAAAGUCCCCUCUCCAAAGUGCAAGUGGUUCGCAGAAGUGAAAAAACAGAGAUGUUUAGGUUAAUGCUGCAGAAACGAACGAUACAGGGUGUGUACAAUGAUGUUGAAAGACGGAGAUUGCCUUGUUGUCGAUGAGACGAACAACCCCACUGGAGCAAGUCCAAACCGCUACGAUAGAGCUGCACGCUCUGUAGCAGGUAGGACGCUUAGUUGAAUGUGGUCGCCGAAAGGUAACAGAAAGGGGCUUACUCCCUUCUCCC